This is a non-coding RNA of Oryza sativa Japonica Group (Japanese rice), 8753 nucleotides long. NCBI's taxonomy places the organism in Eukaryota, Viridiplantae, Streptophyta, Magnoliopsida, Poales, Poaceae. The record is from RefSeq and is a predicted model, not a curated record.
CCUAGAUUCAUUCACUCCCAUCCCCCCUCCCACCGCUGGCAGCCUCCCCCGCCCGACGCCACAUGUCCCCUUCUCCCCACCGGCGCCAUCUCUCCCCUCUAGUGGCGCAGCUUCCCUUCUUCUCCCCUCUCCCCACUGGCGCGCCGCUCCCUCUCCCCCUUUCCCUCCCAUCUCGCCUGCACGGCGCGACGAUGGCGGGGUGCGGAGGAGACGACGGUGAUAGUCGUCCCUCCUCCUCCUCCUCCUCCCUCUCCCCGUCGGCCUCGAUGGCCGUCCCUUCCUCUUAGGGACGGCACCCUCUCCACCCUCAAGAUCCGACGGCGUCGGUGGUUUCCCUCGGGCAGAUCCAGUGCCGACGGCUUCCUGCGGCGGAUCCAACGGCAACGUAGAAAUCGCCGAUCCGGCUUCACCGAUGGCGCCUCGUGGACGGAUCUGGUGGCGACGACGAUGUUGGUGGCUUUCCCGAGCGGUGGACCUGAGCGGAGUGAGAGAACGGCGCACGGCUCCCAGAGCGAGGGCGCAUCUCGAUCCUUCCACCCAGCUAGAAGGAGGGGAAACGGCGGCGGCGGCCCAGUGGCGGCUCGGCGGAUCCCUGGAGCAGCAGCCGGUCGACGGCUCCCGGUAGCAAGGCGGCGUGGAGGUCCGGCAAGGAGCAGCGCUCGCCCUCCCUCUCCUGUGUGAUUUGUUUUGUACUAUAAUUUGUUGAUUUCCUAUGAUCUAUUUUUUUGGUAAUUUAGACCCAUGCCAUUAUAAUUUUGCAAAGUUUAAGAUAUGUCAUCGAUAUCUCAAUGACAUGUAGGACCCACGUCAUUGAAGGACCCACAUGAGUCCUAAUGGCAUAUCUUAAAUUUUACAAAAUUAUAAUAGCAUGGUUCCAAUUUUCGGUAUUUUAGAUUUCAGAUGAUUUUGUGAUGAUUCCGAUUUGGAUUAGUAUUUUGUUUUUGGUUUGGAUUAUGGUGGUUUGGGAUUUGGAGAGGGGGCACGCGUGAUGUGGCUGACAAAUGAAGAGGAUUUUUUUUAUCGUCCUUUUUUACGGGUUUUUUUUGUCCGCGCCAUUGAUUGAAUCGAACUUUCUUUUUUUUCGCUCGCGAUUGGGAUUCGGGGGCGGGGGUUGCUGGUGCGCACCAACGAUUGGAAAAAUAUGAAUCUUUUAAUUAGUUAAGUUAUAAGAUAGAUUAGAUUGGAAUUGGUGUGAGUAUGUGCUUGUAGAUGGACCUAGAAUACUGAAAUCACAGUUUGGGCUUGUAUUGUAAUUCUAUAUGGACCGAACCAAAACAGAAUCGGGUGGAUGAAUCGGAUCGGAUGAGUUUAGCGUGAUUAAUGACGGACGAAAAUCUGUGAUUACUGCGAUGUGAUGACCGGAAAAAUCCAAAUAUUUAUAUUAGUUAUAGAUAAGAAAGGGACAGGGUAGGUCGGUAUAGAACCGCGUUUUUUCGCAGAUCGAACAUCUCCACGAGACCACGACGAAGAUUAUUAAUUAAUUAGAUUAAAGAAGCCUUGCCGGCCGCUCUGUCAUAGUAUGUGCCGGCUGGCUUCGCCUCACACUCACAAUCUCUUCGUUCUUAUUGAGUAUUCAACGGAAUUACGAACCGCAAAUCGCUUUAAAGCUAAAAAAUGUGGCUAAACAUGUCGGCAUAGUCAUAUUAUAUAUGUGCCCCGGCGCCGGCGCCUCAUCUGCCGCUAGCCGACGUGUUGUUCAGAUUGGCGUUGCCCUCCGUUACAGCUGGAUAUGAAAUACAAAUAGAAAUGAUAGAGCACAAUAUACCUCUGCAUAGUUAGUAUGCGCUCACUCCCGUGCAAGAGCUAAGCCUUUGCUCACUGCGCCUGAAAUCCGAGCCACACGCAAGGUUAGUUUGCACGAUCCCCUCCCUCGUCCACCUCGGAUAAAAACCCCCCUCUUGUCGCGAGCAUGCUUAUCAUGAAACCAUGGGCGAAUAGUGCCCAACUAUGGUAAACUUGUAUAUAUAGGGGAUUGGCCGAUGUAUAAGGAUAUGUACGUACGAAGGUAAAAAAAUAAGGACAAAUGAGAUAUGAGUUUUCAUAUACGUACAGUUUGUAUAAUACAAAAUUUAUAUAUAUGUGUGUGUGUACACACACACACAGACACACAAACACACACACAUAUACGUAGAGACAAGAGGGGGCGGGACUGAUCGUGUCCGCGCGGAUCAGCGGCCCCGACUUUGUGCAUGCAAGCGCAAGCGCGAGCGCGGCGCCUUUCGAGCUCCACUCUCGGCGUCUCGCCGCCUAGUCGCCGAAACGCCGAUGCUACCUGCGCGCGUGGCGGCGUGGGCGUGGCCGCAUGGAUAAGCCGGGAAUGCGUCCUCGCCUGUGCUCCCGACUGCCGCUCGAUGCGGGAAUCCUUCCGUUUCGGCAGGUGGUUGUUGAGUUUGCGGCUCCGCGCUGGGCCGCGUGGGCACUCUUGCCGACUGCAUGCCUGCAUGGAGCCCUUCAGUUUCUCCCGAGGGCCAUAUACGGAAGGAAUAAGUUUAUUUUGUGACCCUCAAAAGUGAUCGAAAUCUAAUCCGUGACCUUAAACCAUAAAACCGGAUAUCUUGACCCCAAAACUCCUAAAACCGUGCAAUUUGACUCCCUAGGCGGUUUUGGAGGACGGUUUCGCUGACGUGGCGCCACGUGGCACCUACGUGGCGAUAUUAACCAAGUCUUCGUUACACGUGGCGUUGACGUGGCUCUUACAUGGCAAUAAAAUUAAAAAGUAUACGUGGGACCCAUUAGUCAUUCACAAAAAAGAAAUGUGGGCCAACUGACAUGUGGGCCUUCUUCCUCCCUCUCUCCCUUCUCUCUUUCUCUCCCCUUUAGACGGCGGGCGGGAUGGCAGAGAGAGCGAGCGGCAGUGGGCGGUGACGGCGAGGCCGGAGCUGCGGAGGUGGGCGGGGAGGGCACCAACGCCGGGGAGCGCCGGCGUCGGCAUUCGGCGAUCUGGAGCCCGCCACAACGACGGGGAGCGGCAGCGUCGGCAUCCGGCGGUGGGGACGACGUCCGGCGUCGGCAUACGUCUCCGCCGCUUCCUUUUUCUUUGCCGCCGCCGCCGCUCCGGUGGAGCCGCUCCUAGCCAGCCAUCCUCCCUUGCCAUGCUCCGUUGGAGCCGAUGCGGUUGCCGCGAUGCCGCAAGCCCACAACCCCUUUUCCCGCUGUGGCACGGAGAGGGAGGCGGUAGGGCAGAGCAAGGAGAGGCGGCAUCAGCGACCGGUGGAGCUCGCUGUGGCUUCCAUCUCGGUGAUCUACGGAUCUGCUGCCGCGAGGAAGUGGUGAGGUCGAAGCUCGAGCGGGCAAGAAAUGAGGUUGGAGAUCGAGCUCCCAUCCGGCGACGGGAGGCAGCGAGAUAGGGAGAGAGACCACCUCCGCCACGGCAAGAGAUGGCAUGCAUCUCGCCUCCCAGAGCACAAGCUGCGCAAGAGAGGGAGCUCGUCGGAUUGGGCAUGAGCAGGUGAGCUCGACGGUCGCCGCGGCCAAUAUCUCACGUCAGCGCCCACCACAACGACGUCCACGAUGGCCGCGCACACCCAGCUCACGUGCUCCGAGUGGCUCGAAUCUGAGUGCGCCGGCGGGUCCCCCUCUUCCUGCUCCUCCUCCACCUCGUCGUCGUUGGGAAAGCGCACCGCCGGCCACCUCACGUGCCAGUGGUGGAGGUUGGCACCGGCAGCGGCGCCUCGGCAUCUCUCUCGUCGGCGCCGAGAAGAGCUGAAAGAGAGAGAGAGAGAGAGGAGGAGGAGGAGACGGGCGAGCGUCGCCAUUGCCAGGGUGUCCUGAAGGCGAAGGGGCGAGCCGACCUCGCCGUCGCCGCCACUCCCCUCGUCCUCCCGUCGCCAUUGCCAACGAGAAGAGAGAGAAUAUAGGAGGGUGUCACUAGCAGGUGGGCCCCACUUUAUUUUUUUAAUUUAUUUGAUGACUGGGAUGCCAUGUAGGCGCCACGUCAGCGAAACCGCCCUCCAAAACCGUCGAGGGAGUCAAAUUGCACCGGUUUUAAGAGUUGGGGGGUCAAGAUAUCCGGUUUUGUGGUUUAGGGUUGCGAAUUAAAUUUCGAUGAACUUAUUCCUAUACGGAACGUGAUGGGCUGGACUGCGGUUGGAGUAGGCCGGAUGGCAGAGAUGUGGGCUGUUCAGCCUCUUUAGUCUAGAGCCCUAUUGCCUACAUGGGCCGUAAAUAGUUAACCAACCGAGUUGGAGUUUAAACUGGGUUGUCAAAUAUAAUGUUCAAACUAGAACUUCUAUCAGAACGAAAUGCCAGUCAGAAUAAAAUCAUGAAGACCUUUUUAAUCGUUCACCGUAGGGGCGCAGUGAUUUCUGUAUUCGAAUUUAUUGAUUACAAAGAACAGGGACUCUUGUCACGAAUCAGGAAUUAGGCAAUUGGCAUGUACAAAGACUGAUUUCUCGUCCCAAUUCUCUGUUUCUCCUCUUACACCGCAAGCAACGAAUCAACCAAACCAUUAAUAAUCGGAGAUAUUAAAGACCACCGCAGAAUGCUCGCACCAUAGCGAUUCUGCGGUUUUUUGGCUGGCGUGUACGCUUCUGGUGGUAUCCACAUCGGCCCGUGUUGGAACUGGUCAUCUUGCAAAAAAGUCCUCGAUUAACUUGAUAAUUACUCUUACGUCCCUCACCCUAUGCUCCUGUGUUUUGUAGUCUUUCGUAACAGCCCUCAAUGUCUUGGUAUAUACUAUGUGAAGGAGACGAAAUUCUAGAUAUAGGACCGCGCUAUGAAAAAAGAGAAAUAAGGGUGUUUUCUGCAAAAGAGAACAUCCCUAUCCUAUCCUCUCCAUUCCCCUGAAACCCUAUCCAUCACUGUUCUCCUGCCCUUUCUCUUCCUUUCCCCUGUCCUUGCGCCGCCGCCGCCUUGCCUUACCUCCCCGGCUUCUCCUCGCCGACGACGGCUUUCCCCUCACGCUCUCCCGUACCCUCCUCCUCUCUUGGCGCUCCCUCCAUCACCCCCCCUCCCAGUAGAGCAAGGGGAUUUAGGGACUGGAUGGCGUAGCGUUGGAUUUGGGUGCGGUGAUGGAGUUUCGCCGGCGACGGCCUCCCCCUCGCGCUCUUCCAUGUCCUGCCCAUCUCCUGCCGCACCCUCAAGCACUCUCCGCCUGUUUCUCCUCGCCACCCGUUGCAGCAGUUACCCUGUUUUGUGUUGGGCUCCACGGAGCUGCGACGACGGUAGCCUCGGCCAGGAAGCGACCCAUGGACCAAUGGUGGGAGCAUUUGGCAAGGACACACUCACUCAAGAACCAGACAUUGGCCUGUGAUGGGAAACAAGCUCGAGGAUGCUAGAUGGCUAUAGACUUGAUCCUUCCACUCUCACAGCCGUCAACAACAUCGGGGCGAUUCGUUUUGCUGCCUGGUGGGCUAUUGUUUACUGCUGUCUGCUUGCUGCUGAAUGAAGCAGCUAGCAAAUAUUGUUCCAAACUAAAAGUUGUAGUGGUUUGGUGUGAUGAGGAAGCCAGAAAAUUAAUGGUUAGGAUUCAGUGGCCUUUCAUUUUAUCUUUAUAUAGGACUUCAUUCCCCUAAAUCUUGCCUUUAUAUAUUGAUUUUAAUUAUGCAGAUUUUCUGUACAAUUGGCACUGGACAUUCUUUCUGUAUCCAGAUUCAUUGAAGCAUGUAAUAUUUCAUCUUUGUACCAUGCUUCUAUUUAAGAGGUGUGCAGACUCUCACUGUUUCGUUUGAAUAUGCCAACCAUCAUGUUUAUUUUGCAAUUACCUACGACACUAGAUGAAGCACUUAUAUGUAAAUAUUACUGCAGAGUGUUUAUCAUUUUGCUUAGGUUGCUUCUUAAAAUCUAGCGCAGGUGAUUGGAAGAAGGUUUAGCUGAUCUUGGAUAUGUUAGGAUUAUUAGAAGCUAAAUGUUUCCCUGAUUUUACUUAAAGUAGCUGUUUGCCGCUUGAUUUUAGCGAUUAAAGUUUCUGGUCUGAAAGAAGUUAGGGUGUGUUUGGUUGGUGGGAUAUACCCGGAUAAGACAUGGCCGCCGCUUUUUGGAGGGUGUUUGGAUGCUGGGCGAGAGUGGGAUAGGGCAGCCCAGAGGGGAAUAUUCCCUCCACAUGCUGGAUAGAGGGAUCCGGCUGAUUUGGCCGGAUGCAACCGCCCGAGGCUCGGGCGAGCCGGGCAAGCGAGUUGCGUGACUCGCGUCACCCCUCACCACCACGACGCGAGCGAGGCGACGAGCGCGGUGGCCGGCAAGAGGGACGACGAGCUCGGCGGCCGGCGUGGGCGACGAGAGGGGAGAUGAGCUCGGCGGCCGGCGAGAGAGGCGACGAGCGCGGCGGCCGGCGAGAGAGGCGACGAGCUCGGCGGCCGGCGCGGGCGACGAGCGUGGCGGCCGGCGAGAGAGGCGACGAGCUCGGCGGCUGGCGUGGGUGACGAGAGAGGAAGGCGGCGGCGGGAGGAGGCGAGCCUCGGUGGUGGGAGGAGGCGGCCGGCGGCGGGAGGAAGCCGGCGGGAGGAGGCUGCCAGCGGCGUCGGCGAGCCCAGAUCUGGCGCUGCUUUUUUUUUCUUUUUCUUUUUUCUAUGUGUAUUUAUAAUGGAAUGUGUAUUUAUAAUGGAGUGUGUAUUUAUAAUGGAAUGUGUAUUAUGUAUUAAUUUGAUGGGGUAUAUUCACCAUCUCAAGUGAGAGGUGACCACACCUACAAAUCCACCAUACUUCCUCCAACCAAACAAAAAAUUGGAUCACCAAAUCCACCUUUGUCUCUACAACCAAACAAAAAAUUAGAUCGCCAUAUUCACACAACCAAACAAAAAUUGGACCGCCAUAUCCAGCAAAAUAUGGACCACCGUAUCCCAUCCAAUCUUGACCAGGAACCAAACACACCCUUAGUGUUCUAUACAAGCAUGUUGACUGUUUGAUAAAAAAAUCACAAUACUGACUGUGGUUUUUGAAAGAAGUUAGUGUUCUAGACAAGUACAUCAGGGCUUCUGUCCUAGAUCCCCAUCCAUUUGUGCCUAUGAAUCAUGUUGCUUCUCAGAACAGAUGGUAAAUUCAAUAUGCAGAUUUAUUUACUACAGCAAAAAAAUAACACUCAAUAUGCAGAUUAGUUUUCUAUUAAGCAAGCAUGUAUAACUGGAAAUGUGCUUAGGACAGAGGUGAUAUAUUGGUAGGAAAAUUCCUAUCCAGAUUAGUUUCCUAUUAAGCAAGCAUGUAUAACUGGGUAUGUGCUUAGGACAGGGGUGAUAUAUUGGUAGGAAAAUUCCUAUCCAGAAUCUGGUAUAGCGCCACUGUAAACAGAAACUCCGUGUGUGUUUAUUUCUACUUAGUGAUCCUGGAUCCUGCUAAUAUUUAGACCUUGAGAUCCUGCUAAUAUUUGGACCUUGAAUUAUAUCAUUCCUCCACAUACACAGCCUGUUGUAACUGCAGCUCUUAUCUGUUCUCUCUGUUCUUACCUUGAAUUAUGCAGAGUUUUGCAUGGUCAAAUUAGAUAGCCAUUAAAAAAACUAUGGUAUGUUGCUUCUCAGAGCACAUGGUAGAUUCGAUAUGGAGAUUCAUUUUCCAGAAAAAAGAGAGGCAAUAGCAGAUUAGUUUUCUGUAACAAAAAAUAGCACAUCAUUUUCUGCUGGCGAUAGGAAUUUGCCCAGUAAUUCUGUGGCAUGCUGCCACCAAAGUUUAGCAUGUGUCUUUCGUGUUGCUACAUACUAGAACAUAUUACCUAUGUGAUUAAUAAGAUGAAUAUAUCACGUUUGGUUUGUCGGUUUAAUUAGGUGGUGUUUAUAGUUCAUCCUGUGAUGCCUUGGAUCCUUUGUGUGGUUCACCGUAGGCAUGUGGUUGGGUGCGUGUGUGCCAUCGGUCCUAACGCUCUAUGGCCCACCUGGAAAUCACCUUGGUCCAUGCUGCGUCUGGCCUAUGUAGCUCUCUCCCUGCCUGACAGCCUUGACUUUUGGUGCACCCCCACGUUUACUCAGCAUAGCCUCAUGUUUCUCUAUGCGAUGUCACUAUGUGCGACAGUGCGAGGCAGGCACGUUUCUUCAUGAUUCUCCUACCAACGUUUGGUCCACCGUAAUCCCUGGUCACACGAGUGCUCCUCUCUGCCUGUGUUUUGUGCGCUAGGAGCACGUUCAUCCAGUGCAACGAACGGAUUGGACAAAUUACCUACUGGUUAUUACAUUGGAUAAAUGAUGGACAUGCACCUAUUCAUUGCAGAGCCAAUGACAGGUGGGGUCGGUUUUGUGGGUUGUCCCAUAUACCAUGUGUUAUGCGUAUCCAAGAGGCCGUGAGUCUAUCGUGCCAUGUUUUUCUAAGCGCCGCGUGCUACAGUGUCUGACGUGCCGCGUCAGGCCACAUCAAAUCGUCCUGCGCACGAGCCGUACCGGCAUGCGCGCAGGCAUCGAUGCAUCUGGCAUGGCCCUAGCCUUUCCUAUCGUUCCUGUUACCCGGUUAGUUAAUAGAGAUUGAGGCCAUUCAAACAGCUGCGUUGCUUCGGAUGUCUUCUUGGCUCUUCUCUCAUCUUUCCCCUUUUCGCUCUUACAUCAAUGGCCAACACUAGGGGGGAUCGUGGAUGCUGCGCCGGUGCUGCUGCUUAGAAUUUGCCUCACGCCUCUAGGGUGCUCCCCCAGCCACGCUUCCACGCCGUCUUCCUCUCGAAUUUCGCAGGCGUGGCCCUCACCAAUCUACCCCAUAAUUUCCUGCCUAUUUAUCGAUGUUAGUUCCAAUUGUUAUAUCUGUGAUGUAUAAUGUACUCUAGAUUAUGCAUUGUUCUCCACAAACAAUGUUAACAUUCAAUCUAUGUAUUUUAUGUCUACUUAAUCCAUCACUGGUUUUCCUCA